RNAcentral lists this transfer RNA (85 nucleotides) under Felis catus (domestic cat). It matches the Rfam family "tRNA". From Rfam's summary of the family: Transfer RNA (tRNA) molecules are approximately 80 nucleotides in length. Lineage: Eukaryota; Metazoa; Chordata; Mammalia; Carnivora; Felidae. RNAcentral also lists the same sequence under 2 other names. The record is from Rfam by way of RNAcentral.
GCCUGGGUGGCUCAGUCAGUUAAGCGUCUGACUUCGGCUCAGGUCAGGAUCUCAUGGUUCGUGAGUUCAAGCCCCAUAUCAGGCU